This 460-nucleotide ribosomal RNA is filed under the name uncultured bacterium. Its description in RNAcentral is "partial 16S ribosomal RNA". It matches the Rfam family "Bacterial small subunit ribosomal RNA", at positions 338 to 795 of the family's 1533-position model. The record is from RNAcentral.
CCUACGGGAGGCAGCAGUGAGGAAUAUUGGUCAAUGGACGAGAGUCUGAACCAGCCAAGUAGCGUGAAGGAUGAAUGCCCUCUGGGUUGUAAACUUCUUUUAUAUGGGAAUAAAAUGUUCCACGUGUGGGAUUUUGUAUGUCCCAUAUGAAUAAGGAUCGGCUAACUCCGUGCCAGCAGCCGCGGUAAUACGGAGGAUCUGAGCGUUAUCCGGAUUUAUUGGGUUUAAGGGGAGCGUAGGUGGAUUGUUAAGUCAGUUGUGAAAGUUUGCGGCUCAACCGUAAAAUUGCAGUUGAAACUGGCAGUCUUGAGUACAGUAGAGGUGGGCGGAAUUCGGGGUGUAGCGGUGAAAUGCUUAGAUAUCACGAAGAACUCCGAUUGCGAAGGCAGUUCACUGGACUGCAACUGACACUGAGGCUCGAAAGUGUGGGUAUCAAACAGGAUUAGAUACCCGAGUAGUC